CCGAGAACUGCUCCAGCAGCGGGAAGGACGAGAGCUCGGGGCCGUGGUGGCUGCCGCCGGCGCUGCCGUUGGGCUUCAUGGAAUUCCAGCGCUUCUCGAAGUCCUCCUCCGCCUCCGUGGCCCCCUUGGCGCACAGGUUGCCGUGCACCUCAUCGAUGAGCUCAGGCGCGAUCCAGCGCAGCGGCACCCACAGCUGGUCGGCCGUCACGAAGUAGUCGUCCUGCCAAGUGUGCAGGUGCGAGAGCCCGUAGUCCCCGAUCUUCACGGUGAGGUCAGCGGUGAGGAGGCAGUUCCGCAGGGCCAGGUCGCUGCCAAGCAAACCCGGAGCUGUCACGGGCACCGAGAGCUCGGGAGCACCCACCGGGACCCGGCUG
Long non-coding RNA from Prinia subflava (tawny-flanked prinia), 374 nucleotides. RefSeq lists it as uncharacterized. The transcript is spliced from 3 exons. Lineage: Eukaryota; Metazoa; Chordata; Aves; Passeriformes; Cisticolidae. The record is from RefSeq and is a predicted model, not a curated record.